GACGAACGCUGGCGGCGUGCUUAACACAUGCAAGUCGAACGGAAAGGCCCUGCUUUUGUGGGGUGCUCGAGUGGCGAACGGGUGAGUAACACGUGAGUAACCUGCCCUUGACUUUGGGAUAACUUCAGGAAACUGGGGCUAAUACCGGAUAGGAGCUCCUGCUGCAUGGUGGGGGUUGGAAAGUUUCGGCGGUUGGGGAUGGACUCGCGGCUUAUCAGCUUGUUGGUGGGGUAGUGGCUUACCAAGGCUUUGACGGGUAGCCGGCCUGAGAGGGUGACCGGCCACAUUGGGACUGAGGUACGGCCCAGACUCCUACGGGAGGCAGCAGUGGGGAAUAUUGCACAGUGGGCGGAAGCCUGAUGCAGCAACGCCGCGUGCGGGAUGACGGCCUUCGGGUUGUAAACCGCUUUCGCCUGUGACGAAGCGUGAGUGACGGUAAUGGGUAAAGAAGCACCGGCUAACUACGUG
RNAcentral lists this ribosomal RNA (468 nucleotides) under uncultured bacterium. Its description in RNAcentral is "partial 16S ribosomal RNA". It matches the Rfam family "Bacterial small subunit ribosomal RNA", at positions 28 to 507 of the family's 1533-position model. The record is from RNAcentral.